This 117-nucleotide ribosomal RNA is filed under the name Armatimonadota bacterium. Lineage: Bacteria; Bacillati; Armatimonadota. The record is from RNAcentral.
UGGGGCGGCCAUAGCGGAGGGGAAACACCCGUUCCCAUCUCGAACACGGCAGUGAAGAACUCCAGCGCCGACGGUACUGCUCUGGUAACGGAGUGGGAGAAUAGGACGCCGCCCCAA